GAACAUUUGUAUCGUAUUCAAACAUUACAACUUCGACCGAUGAUCGAAUCGUUACAUAAGCUCCCAAAUAAAUUAAUUUGGGUGUAAAUCCGGGAUCAAAGUUUUGAACCCAAGAAUGGAUUUUCUUUCUAUAUACAUAGCAAACUUCUUCACUAUCUACAUUGGUAUAAAAAUGGUGUUUGAUUUUGGUAUUCUUCUCCAUUUAUUCUCUUGCGAAUUCGAUCACUAUGUGUACCAUUCGAUCCGAGAUGCAAAGCUACUGGCCUGAGUUUGGCGAGCGGUUCAAGCAACUCGUGAUGAACUAUAUAAUUUGAGAAAUCUAUAUAUGUAUAUAUAGUAAAACUAGAGAGAAAUAUGAGGCAUGGUUGAGCUUUAGCUGUAGGCAGCCUCAACUGAAAGCUUCUUUGUGUUAUCAGGAAGUGGUUCUCUUAACCAAAGAGAUCCCCCUAGGAUUGCCACCCCAUUCUUCGAAAAUCACUAGUAUAUUCCCGCUCGGUUUCAACCAAGCACGGGGGACAUGGUACCAUCUCUGUGAGGGCUCUCCACAGCUAGACUGACAUUUCUUCUCAGUAAAAAUUCCACCAUAGUAGCAUUUGCCACAACUACCACGUGCAGUAUAUGCAGGCCAAUGGCGUCCGAUGCUCUGACCGUUAAUCCAUAUCUGACCUUUACCCAUGCUACUCAUAUCUAAAGCUAACGGUUCAUUGCCUCCCGGGGCAUUGAAACUCGUCUUGUACCAUGUGAGGGGUUGUUUUUGAGACACCAAGGAGCCUGUCAUCCAUUCAACAGACCUACUUCCACUGACAGUAUGAAGAUUCAAGGCUUCUCCUUUCAAGCCAACCUUGUAAGACCAUUUAUAUCCCGACAUAUCUCUUGUACCCUCGUUUAGACCCUUCAAUGUGAC
RNAcentral lists this unclassified non-coding RNA (904 nucleotides) under Hevea brasiliensis (rubber tree). Lineage: Eukaryota; Viridiplantae; Streptophyta; Magnoliopsida; Malpighiales; Euphorbiaceae. The record is from RNAcentral.